CCAGACUCCUACGGGAGGCAGCAGUGGGGAAUAUUGCACAAUGGGGGAAACCCUGAUGCAGCGACGCCGCGUGAGUGAUGAAGUAUUUCGGUAUGUAAAGCUCUAUCAGCAGGGAAGAUAAUGACGGUACCUGACUAAGAAGCUCCGGCUAAAUACGUGCCAGCAGCCGCGGUAAUACGUAUGGAGCAAGCGUUAUCCGGAUUUACUGGGUGUAAAGGGAGCGCAGACGGCAGGGCAAGUCUGAUGUGAAAGUCCGGGGCUCAACCCCGGGACUGCAUUGGAAACUGGCAUGCUGGAGUGCCGGAGGGGCAAGCGGAAUUCCUAGUGUAGCGGUGAAAUGCGUAGAUAUUAGGAGGAACACCGGUGGCGAAGGCGGCUUGCUGGACGGUAACUGACGUUGAGGCUCGAAAGCGUGGGGAGCAAACAGGAUUAGAUACCCCGGUA
Molecule: ribosomal RNA, 444 nt
Filed under: uncultured bacterium
Lineage: Bacteria
Description: bacterial SSU rRNA
Rfam family: Bacterial small subunit ribosomal RNA
Source: RNAcentral